This 866-nucleotide long non-coding RNA is filed under the name Triticum aestivum (bread wheat). Its description in RNAcentral is "long non-coding RNA (TAES_LNC010811)". The record is from RNAcentral. Lineage: Eukaryota; Viridiplantae; Streptophyta; Magnoliopsida; Poales; Poaceae.
GCCUGGCUGUGGAGGUGGGCGUCCCUGCUGAUGGCGCUGCUGGCCUCCAGAGGGCGGGCGUUCUUGGGCAGCUGGUGCGGGGCGUGCGGCUGCACGUGAGGGCUGGCGCGGAUCUGGGCAUGGCAGCGCGAAGUGGCCGUUUCUCCGCCACUGGUCGGUGGUUGGAGGGGCUGUAGGUGCGCUGGUCUUACACGGUGAUGCUUGGCGAGGUGGGCUACUCGGGUCCACUGGUUGGAUGGUUGAGGUUGCCGGCGAAAGCUGAACUCCGGCAGUGGCCGGAGUUGUCGAUGGCCGCGCCGGCAGGCCGUUUCCUUGCUGAAGGUAUCAAUGUUGCAGUCCUCACCUUCCACUGCCCCAUGCCUCCCCCUGUGAUUCACUGAAAACCUGAUUCGAUCCAGCUUGCUUGCUUUGUAUUGCGCAGCAGCCAGACAUGCCCAUCCGGCUGGAAAGGAAUCGGCAAGCUGCAGACCGAUGAAGCUAAGUAGUUUUGUUAUCUUUGUUUGCACAGCCAGAUAGCACGCCUUCUUGCUGAUUACUUCUUCCCGUACACUCACGUGAAACAACAUAGAUUCACUAAUUGAUUUUGGCCAGAUGCGCUAAUACAGAAAGUUAGCUUGAUUAGUUAAUCUUCAGCUAGAUGAGCGCACACAUGUAACGCACAGAACGCGCAAACACGGGAAAAUCUAUUGGAUGGCAAUAGGUGUGUGACGCACCUAUGUUUUUAUUGUUUUGAUCUGGUGAAGUUCAAAGGGGUUCUUAUUUUCAUAAGGCCAAAUGAUGUUCAUCAGUGCGUUGGAUACCUUUCCUCUUUUUUGCUAUGUAUGUUUUCAUGAUAUUUCUCUUGUCCUUUACAUAAAAUAUCUUUC